GUUCCUCAUAGUUUAUUGGUCGUAGUGUGAUAUGAAUGUUAGUCUGUCGUCUUACCAAGAGGGUGUGGCUUUCCCUUUUUCUCUCUUUUCUGGCUUCUUACUCUGUUAACACAUUUUGAUGAACUCUUGAUUAUUGUCUACUCUGAUGCUAACAGAUUUAGUAGCUGCCUCCUUUUUUCAGCUCAUCCAUUAACAAAACCAAACAUUAAAACAAAAGAUUAAACCAUUUAGGUGACUUUCACCAGUUGAAUUCCCAGGCGAUUAAAGUAUUUUAGAUAGAUAAAAAGAAUUUUGGUGAUCAUGGCUUGAAUCCUUUUAGCCACAUCAUUUUAAAAUACCAUGUCUCCUUAGUGAAAAGUAAUAUAUGUCACAUUCAGAGAAGUUGUUAUAUAUGUGUAAUAUUGUAGGUUGCAAUUCUGUCCACAUCAUAUGCUAAAGAAGAGAGUUAUAAAUUGAGUCACUAGAGUAGCUACAACAGCUGUUA
Molecule: long non-coding RNA, 484 nt
Filed under: Bos taurus (domestic cattle)
Lineage: Eukaryota; Metazoa; Chordata; Mammalia; Artiodactyla; Bovidae
Description: long non-coding RNA NONBTAT016946
Source: RNAcentral